CAUUUCAGUUCGGAUUGCCCUCUGCAACUCGAGUGCAAGAAGUUGGAAUCGCUAGUAAUCGCGGAUCAGCAUGCCGCGGUGAAUACGUUCCCGGGCUUUGUACACACCGCCCGUCACACCAUGGGAGUUGGUUUUACCCGAAGGCGCUGUGCUAACCGCAAGGAGGCAGGCGACCCCGGUAGGGUCGAGCGCAUCUGGGGUUGA
Molecule: ribosomal RNA, 204 nt
Filed under: Mesorhizobium mediterraneum
Lineage: Bacteria; Pseudomonadati; Pseudomonadota; Alphaproteobacteria; Hyphomicrobiales; Phyllobacteriaceae
Description: partial 16S ribosomal RNA
Rfam family: Bacterial small subunit ribosomal RNA
Source: RNAcentral